This 1168-nucleotide ribosomal RNA is filed under the name Bacillus velezensis. RNAcentral describes it as "bacterial SSU rRNA". It matches the Rfam family "Bacterial small subunit ribosomal RNA", at positions 284 to 1471 of the family's 1533-position model. The record is from RNAcentral. Lineage: Bacteria; Bacillati; Bacillota; Bacilli; Caryophanales; Bacillaceae.
UGCCUCAUCUAAGUGAGUGAUCGCCCACAUUGGACUGAGAACGUCAGAUUUCUACGGAAGCAGCAGUAGGAUCUCGCAUGACGAAAGUCGACGAGCACGCGCUGAGUGAUGAGUUUCGAUCGUAAAGCUCUGUUGGUAAGGAGACAGUGCCGUCAAUAGGGCGGCACUCGACGGGUACUAACAGAAAGCAACGCUGACUACGUGCCAGCAGCGCGUAAUACGUAGGUGGCAGCGUGUCCGGGAAUUAUUGGGCGUAAAGGGCUCGCAGGCGGGUUUCUUAAGUCUGAUGUGAAAGCCCCCGGCUCAACCCGGGGAGGGUCAUUGGAAACUGGGGAACUUGAGUGCAGAAGAGGAGAGUGGAAUUUCCACGUGUAGCGGUGAAAUGCGUAGAGAUGUGGAGGAACACCAGUGGCGAAGGCGACUCUCUGGUCUGUAACUGACGCUGAGGAGCGAAAGCGUGGGGAGCGAACAGGAUUAGAUACCCUGGUAGUCCACGCCGUAAACGAUGAGUGCUAAGUGUUAGGGGGUUUCCGCCCCUUAGUGCUGCAGCUAACGCAUUAAGCACUCCGCCUGGGGAGUACGGUCGCAAGACUGAAACUCAAAGGAAUUGACGGGGGCCCGCACAAGCGGUGGAGCAUGUGGUUUAAUUCGAAGCAACGCGAAGAACCUUACCAGGUCUUGACAUCCUCUGACAAUCCUAGAGAUAGGACGUCCCCUUCGGGGGCAGAGUGACAGGUGGUGCAUGGUUGUCGUCAGCUCGUGUCGUGAGAUGUUGGGUUAAGUCCCGCAACGAGCGCAACCCUUGAUCUUAGUUGCCAGCAUUCAGUUGGGCACUCUAAGGUGACUGCCGGUGACAAACCGGAGGAAGGUGGGGAUGACGUCAAAUCAUCAUGCCCCUUAUGACCUGGGCUACACACGUGCUACAAUGGACAGAACAAAGGGCAGCGAAACCGCGAGGUUAAGCCAAUCCCACAAAUCUGUUCUCAGUUCGGAUCGCAGUCUGCAACUCGACUGCGUGAAGCUGGAAUCGCUAGUAAUCGCGGAUCAGCAUGCCGCGGUGAAUACGUUCCCGGGCCUUGUACACACCGCCCGUCACACCACGAGAGUUUGUAACACCCGAAGUCGGUGAGGUAACCUUUAUGGAGCCAGCCGCCGAAGGUGACAGAGG